AUUAUUUUUAAAUAAUUAUUGGCUAAGAUCAAAUGUAGUAUAUGUUCAUAUCAGUUUAAUAUCUGAUAGUCCUCUAUUGGAGGACAAUAUAUUAAAUGGACUUUGGAGCAGGGAGUUGGAAAAGGAGCUUGUCCGAGCAUAGAUCUGGUUGUGCGGUGCUUCCAGGAAUGUGCCCCCCCA
Molecule: small nuclear RNA, 180 nt
Filed under: Catagonus wagneri (Chacoan peccary)
Lineage: Eukaryota; Metazoa; Chordata; Mammalia; Artiodactyla; Tayassuidae
Description: U2 spliceosomal RNA (ENSCWAG00000020033.1)
Rfam family: U2 spliceosomal RNA
About the family: U2 is a small nuclear RNA (snRNA) component of the spliceosome (involved in pre-mRNA splicing). Complementary binding between U2 snRNA (in an area lying towards the 5' end but 3' to hairpin I) and the branchpoint sequence (BPS) of the intron results the bulging out of an unpaired adenosine, on the BPS, which initiates a nucleophilic attack at the intronic 5' splice site, thus starting the first of two transesterification reactions that mediate splicing.
Source: Rfam by way of RNAcentral